CUGUGAUUGUUCCAAGAACUAGCUCAGGAGGGGAGCUAGCUACUGAUUCUAGAAGUGAUGCUGCUGAUGUGGCACCUGUUCUUUCUAAGGCAACCAGAAGGGUUGAUCCUGCUACUGAUUCUAGAAAGGAAAGUACUGAUGUGGAACCUGUUGUUCCUAAAGCAAGCUCAAGAAUGGAAAUAUCCUCUGAUUCAGCACCUGUUGUUAUUUCCAAGUCAAGCAGAAGGCUGGAGUCUGGUGCUGAUUCCAAAAAGGAAAGCGCCGAUGCAGCAUCUGUUGUUGUUCCCAGGGAAAAUACAAAAAUGGAAAUGGCCUCUGAUUCUGCACCUGUUCUUUCAAAGGCA
Molecule: long non-coding RNA, 344 nt
Filed under: Setaria italica (foxtail millet)
Lineage: Eukaryota; Viridiplantae; Streptophyta; Magnoliopsida; Poales; Poaceae
Description: long non-coding RNA (SITA_LNC001763)
Source: RNAcentral